Sitodiplosis mosellana (orange wheat blossom midge) is the source of this 4995-nucleotide long non-coding RNA. RefSeq lists it as uncharacterized. The record is from RefSeq and is a predicted model, not a curated record. NCBI's taxonomy places the organism in Eukaryota, Metazoa, Arthropoda, Insecta, Diptera, Cecidomyiidae. The transcript has 2 exons.
CGUUCACCCGGGAUGUUUUUGUUCAUGUAUUGAUCCAAAGAGAAUGAACUGAAUGGUGAGAGUAUAUUUUCAAAUUCAUUUCUUCUGAUUUUCAACGAUUACGUUUUAAAUUGUCCAGAGAUGGCAGGCAAAACUAAUGUCGUGCAUAUUCCCGCUAUUAGUUUUGGUUCAUUUUGAAGUUUGUUAUUGUAAACAAACCGCCGUUCACAAUUUCACCAUGUCAUGAAAUAUGAAAGAUUGAACAGCCAGCAACUAAAAUCAAAAGGGAAAACGGGUAACGCAUUUGAAUUGUUAUCGUUGUGACAUGAUGUCACUGACAUCGAACGAGUGAUCGAACCGAAAAUUGCGGCUCCCCCUCCCCAGCCGGUCAAGGUCUGGAAACCGGUGGCCUGUUUACGUAAAUAAUUUGUGCAUGGCAUUUAAAAAUUUGUGCAUGCAUUUGCACGUCUCGAAAAAAUCGAAAAAUGUGCAAAUUUCGAGUCUACUUUUUGUGGUGAAUUUGCUGUGAAUGUCAUUUUCACCACUCGACGGGGCAGCAUUUUUUCGCAUGUUCGAAUAUGCAAUUAUUUUGUGCAUAAUUUGUGCAUAAUGAAUAUGCCUUCGGAUUUGCGUUAUGUGGUCAAAUAAUGCCAGACCAGAUUUUCGCAAAAUAUGUGUGUGGUGAAUAUAAGUCAACUAUGAAAAAUAUUGCUUUUACAUGGCCCACACCGGUUGGGCACCACGACAACAUCGUGCAAGUCAUUGCGUUGCCAAAGUUCAAAAAUUUGGUGGUCAUCCCAAUAUGUCAUCACACGAGAAAGGCAGUGAGAAUAGACGCUGAUAUUUUGUAUCGUAUGAUGUGCGAAACCGGUACCAUUCCGCGUGAUCAAUAUGGUUGUCAACACUCAGGGUGCGACGUCACGUUAAAAUCAAAUGAAGCGUAUUAUUUCAAUAUGAUUUUCAACAUGGAGAAAAUCAAUCGAGUGUUGAAAGCAAACAAAAAAAUCGAACAUAUUCUCAGCGAUGGUGUAUCGGCACCGAUUCUGUACUCAGUGAAGAGAACCGUAGUCGACAAGUUGGUGAAAAAUGGUUUGGUGCGUACACGGUACUAUGGUGGCUUCUAUGUCUAUGAAUUUGGCAUCGAUUGGGGCAUGAAGACAUGGCAAUGCAACCGUUAUAGCCAAAUAAACGAGACACGAACGAAUUCUAAGAGCCCAGUCGGAAGAGAAUGCCCAGUCGGAAGAUAUUUUCUCACAAUCAGUUCACGGUUACCUGGAACGCCGUUCUUCGUCCAUCUCAACAGGAUUAAACGAACUGAGCGCUGGGCCUAGCCGUUCAACGUCGAUUUCGACUGGAUUAAACCAAAUCUACCUUCAAGCGACGGCUAAUCCACCUCCAUAUGCCUUUGUAAAUUCAUCUGAUUUCGAUCACGAAACUUCAUCGGGGGAGGAAAAUGACAAUGAGAAUGAGGAAUUGGCCGCAUUAUCAUCAUGUACCAAAACAUUUCGAGAAGGCUUGAGCGGCGAACAAACCAAAAUUCUACGAAAAUCGAUAUUUGCCGAAUGUGACAUGGAUUAUCUGGCGAAUUUGUUCAAUAAUCUGACCGUAUUCACCGAAGAAGAGCAAUUUGGGCCCAAAUUGGUGCCCAAACAAAGGCGCAGAUGAUUUAGGAUUCUUCAAUGCGAAUAAAACGACAUACUUAACCAUGAUUACCAACGAAAUACGAGUGGCCACUGACGUUGACCGAAUGAAUACGGCUUUAUACGAAUCAUCGCGCAAAACGGCAGCUCUGUUGAGCCGUAUAAAAUUGGUUGAAAGAUCAGAAAGAGAGUCAUUCGUCGCGUACGUUUUGCCACGGUAUUUAAUACCAAGGAAUCCGCCCGCCAAUGGUAAAAAGAUUCUCCAGAAGAGAUACCGUUUGCUGAUAGAUCAUACGGAUGGUUUGCGCCAUGCGCAGUACGACGUUUUAUUCAACGGUGCAUCCAAAAAGCUUUAUGUAAAAUGUCGAUUUGCUGAAUUGGAAGCAUACAACAUCAACAAAACACACUGUUCUUCGGAACUUGAUUUACCAGAAGGCAUCACCUUAGCAGAAUUAGGUCGAAACGCAUUCCGUCACAUCCAGGUCCAGCUUAAAAAUGGAAGCCACGAAAACGAUGCAUGCUUCUGUGUACACAACUAAAUUGUAGAUGAACGUUGGUCUAGGAUCGAUUUGAAUCGCAAUAUACUUGAUGCGGAAUAUCACCGAAAUCGCGAAGCGUACAAAAGAAGUAGGAAAUUGGAGGCGAGCAGACGAGAAAAACAACGACGACCAAGGCGCAAGAAGUAGGUCAAACAUACACCCACACACACUCGAACAUACAUAUAUAUUUACAUACUUGUUAUCCUCUGUACACAAUUUAAGAAGUAAAAACACUAAUUGUUAGAAUGUAAUCUCCAGGAAUCAGUACAGAAAUUAGACCCAUACAACUUCAUUUGACUACAAACGCGUGUAAAAAUGAAUCUGUAACAGGCUCAGAGUCAAGCUGUGCUUCUCUGCCAUAAGAACCAAUGUAUUUGACGUAACAGUGAGUAGCGGUGGCGCCUAAAUAGAGUCUGCGGCAAGUUUAGGAACUAUCAAUACGUCUUGUUGUUGCGAAAUUCAUGACAACAACAAAAAGUAUUGAUAGUUCUUAAAAAUGCCGCAAAUUGCUAAUACAUUUUAUUUAGGCGCCACCGCUAUCUUGCGCCGACCAAAAGUAUAGGUUGGCUAGAGUAGGGAGCUCUUAUACAUAUAGUUUAAGACCGUUGACUUUGAUACUUUGAAAUACUGGAAUUUACGAAAGAAAAAAACUGAACGGUGGCCACUUGCAAUCGGCAGAUAUCUUAUACCGAUUUGAUGAUAUAGAGUAAACCAUUUAUACAACCAACAAAAAAAGCAAGUAGUUAGUGCAAUUCGAAGCAUUCAUUUCAAAUUGCAAUCACAUCACACUUCUAAUCUCACAGUCUUCAUAACAUCAAUAGUUAGUUAAAAAAAUAGAAACAAAAACGAAACCAAUCAAUACACAUAUUUCAUUAAAUCGAAUUUAUUCCGCUCAUUAUAAUUCAAAACAUAUUUCUACCCAGCAAAAGACUAUUUAUGAAUAUUAAUUAGAUAAAAAAAAAUCAAUUUUAAAGUGUUUCAUAUUUCAUCGUUGUUACCUUUUUUUUCAUUUUCGAGACCGUAACAAUCAUUAAGAGGAUGUUGAAUAUGGUAUUCAAAAGACUUUGAACAUUUGGUUGAACCAAAUUUGCAAUUCCAAUGGACCAAGUUGUCCAUAUUUAAAUUUAAUGUUUAGAAAUAUAUGUUUAGCUAUCGGCGAUGAUUCAUCGAAUGGUUGUUCAUCAUCUGUUCGUUUAUUUUAAGUGCAUCAAUAUGAAAUAUUUUUCGGGAUAAAAUUCCAAUUUUAUCAGUUGUUGAUGCAUUCGAUGACACAUAAAAAAAGAAUGAGAGAAUCGAAUGAAUGAAACGUUUCAACGGUUUUAGGUGUGUAACAGAAAUGAAAUCAACUGUCUACAAUGGUUUAUUUAGAGAAAAAUGUAUCGUGGACAAAGGUAAUCUGAUAGAACAAUCAUAGCAUUCAAUUCAUUGAUCCAAUUGUCAUCGUUUGCUUGUGCAGCUGGGUUUUUUCUGUCGUGGAAAAAAAUUUAAGAUUUUUAGAAAGAAAACUUUAACUUUAAAAAUUCAUGAAAACGAAUUGUUUUCUAAUGGAAAAGAAAAGCAACAUUUAAAGCAAUGAAAAGCCAUAGCUCACUUGGGUUCGCUUGAAACUUUACAUGGAACUUAAGUUCGGUGAAUUUCGAUAUGAAAUCGAAAGCUUACCCUCUAAUCAGUAUUCAAGCCCAGGGAACGGCCAGUUCAACUCUGUGUCAAAAUGAAAUAAUUUACUUGUAUUCUCUUCGCAGAUCUCUCAAAUUUUUUUUAUACUUACAGGUCCAAGGUUCCCAUCUGAGGAGGUUUAUUACUGUAAGAAGAAUAGUAAAAAUUAGUUCAACUACUUUAACAGUUGAUUGAGAAACGGUAUGACUACAGGAACAUUGAAAAUUAGUCAAAUAAUUAUUCUGGGAAAAUCAGGGAAAUAUAUUCGAUUUAAAUAACUUACUCCACUUUAUUGCCGUGACCCUUGCCAAUCAUUUCCUGAACGACAUUUAAAAAGAAUUUAUCAUCGAAUAUUUCUCGACAAUUUGUUGCAUUAAGCUACUACAAUUGCGAAGUGAAAUGAUUUACUGAUUUACCUGAGGUUUUUUACUAACUGCAUCAGAAGAGCUAUUUAAAGUCGAAAUAAAAUAAUUUACUCAUGUUUUUCUCGCAGCUCUCUCAUAUUUUGUUAUACUCACAUGGGUGGUUGUGAUGAACCUAAUUUAUUUCCUUGUGCUGCUGGUACAUUUUUUAAUUCGAAAGAGACCGACUUUUUUGGUGGCUCAUUUUUCUAUUUUGUGGAUUAACGAAAAUUCAUAAUAAAUUCUAGAGUCAUGUAGAAUAUCGAUGCUGAUGCAAUUUAAUGCCUAAAUGAUAUUCAAAAAGAAUUUUUCAUCGGAUUGUUUUCGACAAUUUGUUACAUAUAGUAAAGCUACUACUUUUGCCAAGUCUCACAUUCCGUAUAAAUUUAAAAGAUUUUUUAAAUAUAAAUUUUUAAGUGUGUGCAAACACGUGCCUUGGAAAUAGUAUUUCAAUUCAUUUUCAACCUUUUUCUACUAAAUAUUGAACGUUUCCCUUGUUCAUCAGAAAUUCGAUUGAACUUUAAAUUUAUUUCUUCGACAAGUGUCAAAUAUAUUUUGUACGAAAGUGAUUUGAAAUAGUGGAAUUAAGGUGACAAAACUUAAUGAAAGGGCCAAAAAGUGCGAAAUAAAUAAAAAUGAUCCGACGAAAACAUGUUUUUUUCACCAUGACAACAUACCUCCAAUGCCUUUUGGAACUUUCCGCUUCCAGGUUUACCGGUUCCAGGUUCACCAGUUCCAGGUGUACCGCUGGCAUUGUGCAAAACAAGCACCUAGAUAGAG